AAAUGCGAUAAGUAAUGUGAAUUGCAGAAUUCAGUGAAUCAUCGAAUCUUUGAACGCACCUUGCGCUCCUUGGUAUUCCUUGGAGCAUGCCUGUUUGAGUAUCAUGAAAUCUUCAAAGUAAAUCUUUUGUUAACUCAAUUGGUUUCUACUUUGGUAUUGGAGGUCUUUGCAGCUUCACACCUGCUCCUCUUUGUUCAUUAGCUGGAUCUCAGUGUUAUGCUUGGUUCCACUCGGCGUGAUAAGUUAUCUAUCGCUGAGGACACUGUAAAAGGUGGCCAAGGUAAAUGCAGAUGAACCGCUUCUAAUAGUCCAUUGACUUGGACAAUACUUUUAUGAUCAGAUCUCAAAUCAGGUAGGACUACCCGCUGAACUUAAGC
Molecule: unclassified non-coding RNA, 377 nt
Filed under: plant metagenome
Description: partial contains 5.8S ribosomal RNA, internal transcribed spacer 2, and large subunit ribosomal RNA
Rfam family: 5.8S ribosomal RNA (bases 1-104)
Source: RNAcentral